Molecule: non-coding RNA, 78 nt
Filed under: uncultured Prevotella sp.
Lineage: Bacteria; Pseudomonadati; Bacteroidota; Bacteroidia; Bacteroidales; Prevotellaceae
Description: TPP riboswitch (THI element)
Rfam family: TPP riboswitch aptamer (THI element)
About the family: Vitamin B(1) in its active form thiamin pyrophosphate (TPP) is an essential coenzyme that is synthesised by coupling of pyrimidine and thiazole moieties in bacteria.
Source: RNAcentral
GUCAAGGGGUGCUCACGGCUGUGGGCUGAGAUGAUACCCUCCAAACCUGAUACGGAUAAUGCCGACGUAGGGAUGAUA